This 342-nucleotide ribosomal RNA is filed under the name uncultured bacterium. RNAcentral's name for it is "bacterial SSU rRNA". It matches the Rfam family "Bacterial small subunit ribosomal RNA", at positions 553 to 896 of the family's 1533-position model. The record is from RNAcentral.
UCUGGGCGUAAGCGUGCGCAGGCGGUUAUGUCAGAUCGAUGUUGAAUCCCUGGGCUUAACCUGGGAACUGCCUUGCUGACUGCAUGGCUUUAGUGCGGGAGAGGGGGAUGGAAUUUCCUGUGUAACCGUGAAAUGCCUAGAUAUUCGGAAGAAUACCGAUGGCGAAAGCAGCCUCCUGGGAUCUUUCUGACGCUCAUGCACCAAAGCGUGGGGAGCAAACCGGAUUAGAUACCCUGGUAGUCCACGCCCUAAACGAUGUCAACUAAGUGUUGGGGAUUCUUCUUCUCAGUAACGAAGCUAACGCGUGAAGUUGACCGCCUGGGGAGUAAGGACGCCCGAUUG